Molecule: unclassified non-coding RNA, 396 nt
Filed under: soil metagenome
Description: partial contains 5.8S ribosomal RNA, internal transcribed spacer 2, and large subunit ribosomal RNA
Rfam family: 5.8S ribosomal RNA (bases 1-122)
Source: RNAcentral
GAUGAAGAACGUAGCAAAAUGCGAUACAUGGUGUGAAUUGCAGAAUCCCGUGAACCAUCGAGUCUUUGAACGCAAGUUGCGCCCGAAGCCAUUUGGUUGAGGGCACGUCUGCCUGGGCGUCACAUAUCGUUGCCCGAUGCCUAUUGCACUGUGACAGGAAAUACUAGGGCGAAAGAUGGCUUCCCGUGAGCGUUGUUGCCUCGCGGUUGGUUGAAAAUUGAGUCAUUGGUAGGGUGUGCCAUGAUAGAUGGUGGUCGAGUUUGCACGAGACCGAUCAUGUGUGCGCUCCCCAAAAUAUGGACUCUUUGACCCCACACGCGUCUUUUGACGCUCAUGACGAGACCUCAGGUCAGGCGGGGAUACCCGCUGAGUUUAAGCAUAUCAAUAAGCGGAGGA